GCCUCGCGCACAAGGCAUCCACUGCACUCCGACUUCAUACGCUGGAGUACAUACACACGCACGCACGCACAACCGACACCCUCCCCACUGUGUGCCUCUUCUGCCCCGCUGCUUUUCCGCCGUCGAAGCAAGCGUGCAAAAAAGUGCAGAAGCAAGGGAGAGAGAGCGCGAGGUGUUGAACUCCAGCAAUGAAGUACGUGGCAGUCUUUGCCUCCUCGGCGAGUCUGGCCAACUUUCGGUUGCCAGAGUUUCAGUUUGUAGCCGCCACGCUGCGCGUCCCCAUCACGUUUCUGGACGACAAAAUCCCAUGGGUUGCAGGCGGCGCCGAUACGUUUUGGUUCAGUGUCUUCGAGUCGCCGGCGAGCCGUUCCGAGCUCAAGGCCCUCGCGGAGCGUUGCGCGCUGUUGCGCGGAGUGUACACGCUCUUUGAGACUGCCCCUACACUGGAGGACCUCUACGCGUGCCUCGAAGAGCGCCAUGGUAGCGCGGCAGGAUCUGCAGGCCCAUCCCUGGCCUCCUUCCCCACCACCGCUGCCACCGCCUUCGUCGGCGAGGACGAGACGACGCACCUCACGAGCUCGACAUACUCCUACCAGGUAGAGACAAUCGGCAAGAAGUACUCCGCGGACGCCAAGCGUGCAGUGGCGGAGGCAGUGCUGAAGCGUGUGCCGCGCGCUGGCGAGGUCGAGUGGCGACAGCCGGGGCGCGCCUACUACAUAUUCCUCCAGCACGCUGUCGAGAACGCGCCGCCUGGAGCGCAAGGAUGGGUAUCGAAUGGGCCGCUGCUGCGCGUCUUUCACUGCCGCCUCUGCGUCGAGUCCAGCCGCAGUGCGCUACUCGCUACGUACGACCUGCGAAAGCGGCCCUACAUCGGCACCACCUCCAUGCCGCCGGAGGAGUCGCUCAUGAUGGUGAACAUGUCAGGCGUGUGUCGCGGCCACUACGUGUACGACCCGUUCUGCGGCACGGGAAGCCUGCUCAUCGCGGCGGCGCACUACGGCGCCAGAACCUUCGGCUCAGACGCCGAUGGACGGGCGAUGCGGGCUGGCACGGAGAAAGGAAAGACGAGUCCACAGAUGCAGCAGCAACGCCGCCUGGCGCUCGCGGCCUACACCGAGGAGCAGUUGUGCGUCUUGACGGAGGAGGAGCGUGUGCUGCCAAACAUGAUCACCAACUUUAAGCUGUACUGCCUGCCACCGCCUGACAGAGCUCGCAUGAACUUCUCCGCGUGGCCGCGGACGUGGCACGCCUGCGCGCUGCGUCUCGGCUCCGGCGGCAUCUUCGACAGCAUCAUCACGGACCCGCCGUACGGCUUACGCGAGCCGCGCAAGAGGGUGGUAACGACGGCUGCCACCAUCCCAACGGCAGCGGCAGCGGCGGCUUCUACGGAGGCUGGCAGCGACAACGCCGCCAAGCAGCAAGCUGUCAGUUUCUCUGCCUACCCCACCCACGAGGUGCUGCUGGAUCUCGUCAUGUUCGCUGCCACGUACCUCGUCGUCGGAGGCCAUCUCACCUUCUGGCACCCAACCACCGAUCACUACACGGACGACGAGCUACCCAGUCACCCAUCCCUGCGCAUUGUAUGCAACAUCGCGCAGCGGGUAUCGCUCAAGGUUGUGCGCCGCCUCAUCGUUCUACGAAAGGUCGCACCGGUGCCGAUACCGCCGCCGUCACGCGAAUCCUGCGCCGCGACGAAGUCCCCAGAUGACCUGCGUGUGCUCAUGGACGCAACGGAGCUGCCUGACAACGCGGACUACAUGCACUACCGCGCCAAGCGCGAGCGGAAGCGCCAGGCAGCGCACAAGUACAAGGCGUCUGCAGACGCCUCUUCCCCCUCCACCCCUGCCACAGGGGUGGAUGUCGGCAGCGGCAGCGAUGGAAGCAACCGGCGCGGUCGAAAGCAGAGCCGGCCGGACGGGCAGGACAAGAUUGUGGCAAAUCGGCAGCGCAACAUCGAGCUGCGGGCGGCGAAGCAGGCGGCCUCGCACCUCGCAAAUGCGUCUCACAAGACGGUCGGCCAUAGCCGACCGUGAAGGAUGAUGAAGGACGAAGACGAUUCCGUACCCCAUCGAUAUCUCCAUCCGCAUCUCUUCAUGUCAUCGGACUCUCCUCUUUCUUCGCGUCUGCUCCUGCACGUGCGUCGGUGAAGAAAGCGAGAUGGAGCCAGGAGUGGUUGCACCGAUGGUAGCGACGGUGUUCAUCGUUGCAUGUGUGCCUGUGUAUGCUUUCUCGUGUAAUGCAGGUAGUCGUAUGUGGGAAAGGGGAUGAAGGACGCAAGCCUACUUGUGUCUGUAGGCGGCGUGCGUUGCGUGGUCUGGGUUUUAGCACACGUAACGUGCCGCCGCCUGCGCCCUCUCUCUCCCGGCCUCCGCCUCCUCUAAGGCGUCAAACCCCUCGACACAGCC
Molecule: unclassified non-coding RNA, 2405 nt
Filed under: Leishmania donovani
Lineage: Eukaryota; Euglenozoa; Kinetoplastea; Trypanosomatida; Trypanosomatidae
Description: gene:LdHU3.05.1130(CDS-product:methyltransferase-like_protein)
Source: RNAcentral